Long non-coding RNA from Poecilia latipinna (sailfin molly), 401 nucleotides. RefSeq lists it as uncharacterized. The transcript is spliced from 2 exons. The record is from RefSeq and is a predicted model, not a curated record. Lineage: Eukaryota; Metazoa; Chordata; Actinopteri; Cyprinodontiformes; Poeciliidae.
AUUAUGUUUUGGCUCUGAAUUUAAUUAUCUCUGCUCCACUGACGUUGAUUUUAUGUCAAUAGAGACAUAAAAUCAACCAUCAUGAACCUGAUUAAAGUGGAGCUGAUAAGACGAGGCCUGUCAUCACAUAGCAUAAUAUUAGUGUCAUGGUAUAAGUUACUACAGCCGCCCCCUAGUGGCUAAAAAGAGAAUGAAUCUGAUUCUUGCUGGUAAAAGUGAUUUGAUAUAUAGGGGUUUUUCUUUAAUCUCUCAUCUGAUUCUUGUGGUUAUACUUAUUUUAAUUUAUGUGAAUGAUUUUUUUUCUUUUAAUGUGAUCAAAUGCUAUAAAGUCAGAAUACUCUCAUAUAUAUUAUUUCCAAUUGCUCAUCAAUCGUUGCAAACAGAAUAAAAUUACAUGAUAU